AACGUAGGUUCCGAGCGUUAUCCGGAUUUACUGGGCGUAAAGCGCGUUCAGGCGGUUUGGCAAGUCGGGCAUGAAAUCUCUCGGCUCAACCGGGAGAGGUUGUCCGAUACUUCCAGACUUGAGGGCAGUAGAGGGUGGUGGAAUUCCGGGUGUAGUGGUGAAAUGCGUAGAUAUCGGGAGGAACACCAGUGGCGAAGGCGACUUCCUGGCCUGUUCUUGACGCUGAGGCGCGAAAGCUAGGGGAGCAAACGGG
This 253-nucleotide ribosomal RNA is filed under the name uncultured bacterium. RNAcentral's name for it is "partial 16S ribosomal RNA". It matches the Rfam family "Bacterial small subunit ribosomal RNA", at positions 524 to 776 of the family's 1533-position model. The record is from RNAcentral.